Molecule: signal recognition particle RNA, 263 nt
Filed under: Dehalococcoidia bacterium
Lineage: Bacteria; Bacillati; Chloroflexota; Dehalococcoidia
Also listed under: 1 other name
Description: signal recognition particle sRNA large type
Rfam family: Bacterial large signal recognition particle RNA
About the family: The signal recognition particle (SRP) is a universally conserved ribonucleoprotein involved in the co-translational targeting of proteins to membranes.
Source: RNAcentral
CCGUGCUAGAUGGGGAACUAGCGGUGCCCUGUACCCGAGAUCCGCUAUAGCGGGGUUGAAUUCCGGCUCGAGGUUUUUGCUUUUUAGGACUGCUCUGGUGAAGUGGCGUUGAGGGCUGGGUCUUGCGCAGCGGGGGGCUAUGAAGCCCGUCAGGUCUGGAAGGAAGCAGCGGUAAAUAGCAUUCUCCGGGUGCCGCAAGGUUACCUGGUCGGAGUUGGCUGAUUGGAGUAAUCUAGAAGGUGAGGUCGACAGCCGGUGCACGG